This 492-nucleotide ribosomal RNA is filed under the name uncultured bacterium. Its description in RNAcentral is "partial 16S ribosomal RNA". It matches the Rfam family "Bacterial small subunit ribosomal RNA", at positions 30 to 507 of the family's 1533-position model. The record is from RNAcentral.
AUUGACCGCUUUCUUUCUUCCUAACUCAUGCAAGUCGAACGGCAGCACAGUAAGAGCUUGCUCUUACGGGUGGCGAGUGGCGGACGGGUGAGGAAUACAUCGGAAUCUACUUUUUCGUGGGGGAUAACGUAGGGAAACUUACGCUAAUACCGCAUACGACCUACGGGUGAAAGCAGGGGAUCUUCGGACCUUGCGCGAUUGAAUGAGCCGAUGUCGGAUUAGCUAGUUGGCGGGGUAAAGGCCCACCAAGGCGACGAUCCGUAGCUGGUCUGAGAGGAUGAUCAGCCACACUGGAACUGAGACACGGUCCAGACUCCUACGGGAGGCAGCAGUGGGGAAUAUUGGACAAUGGGCGCAAGCCUGAUCCAGCCAUACCGCGUGGGUGAAGAAGGCCUUCGGGUUGUAAAGCCCUUUUGUUGGGAAAGAAAAGCAGCAGGUUAAUACCCCGCUGUUCUGACGGUACCCAAAGAAUAAGCAACGGCUAACUUCGUG